CUCCACCGCUUGUGUGAGCCCCCGUCAACUCCUUUGAGUUUCAGCCUUGCGACCAUACUCCCCAGGCGGGGUNCUUAACACUUUUGCUUCGGCAGUGAACCCAUGUUAAGUCCACUACCUAGUACCCAUCGUUUAGGGCUAGGACUACCGGGGUAUCUAAUCCCGUUCGCUCCCCUAGCUUUCGCGCCUCAGCGUCAGAAGAGGUCCAGCACGUCGCUUUCGCCACCGGCGUUCCUUCCGAUAUCAACGCAUUUCACCGCUCCACCGGAAGUUCCACAUGCCCCUACCUCGCUCAAGACGGCCAGUAUCAAAGGCUAUUUUCCGGUUAAGCCGAAAGAUUUCACCCCUGACUUGGCCACCCGCCUACGCGCCCUUUAAGCCCAGUGAUUCCGAACAACGUUUGCACGGUUCGUCUUACCGCGGCUGCUGGCACGAACUUAGCCCGUGCUUCCUCCAG
Molecule: ribosomal RNA, 457 nt
Filed under: uncultured Planctomycetota bacterium
Lineage: Bacteria; Pseudomonadati; Planctomycetota
Description: uncultured planctomycete partial 16S ribosomal RNA
Source: RNAcentral